UAGGGAAUCUUCGGCAAUGGACGGAAGUCUGACCGAGCAACGCCGCGUGAGUGAAGAAGGUUUUCGGAUCGUAAAGCUCUGUUGUAAGAGAAGAACGAGUGUGAGAGUGGAAAGUUCACACUGUGACGGUAUCUUACCAGAAAGGGACGGCUAACUACGUGCCAGCAGCCGCGGUAAUACGUAGGUCCCGAGCGUUGUCCGGAUUUAUUGGGCGUAAAGCGAGCGCAGGCGGUUAGAUAAGUCUGAAGUUAAAGGCUGUGGCUUAACCAUAGUACGCUUUGGAAACUGUUUAACUUGAGUGCAAGAGGGGAGAGUGGAAUUCCAUGUGUAGCGGUGAAAUGCGUAGAUAUAUGGAGGAACACCGGUGGCGAAAGCGGCUCUCUGGCUUGUAACUGACGCUGAGGCUCGAAAGCGUGGGGAGCAAACAGGAUUAGAUACCCUGGUAGUCCACGCCGUAACGAUGAGUGCUAGGUGUUAGACCCUUUCCGGGGUUUAGUGCCGCAGCUAACGCAUUAAGCACUCCGCCUGGGGAGUACGACCGCAAGGUU
This 548-nucleotide ribosomal RNA is filed under the name uncultured bacterium. Its description in RNAcentral is "bacterial SSU rRNA". It matches the Rfam family "Bacterial small subunit ribosomal RNA", at positions 355 to 895 of the family's 1533-position model. The record is from RNAcentral.